Molecule: ribosomal RNA, 498 nt
Filed under: uncultured bacterium
Lineage: Bacteria
Description: partial 16S ribosomal RNA
Rfam family: Bacterial small subunit ribosomal RNA
Source: RNAcentral
AUUGAACGCUGGCGGCAUGCUUUACACAUGCAAGUCGAACGGCAGCGCGGGGCAACCUGGCGGCGAGUGGCGAACGGGUGAGUAAUACAUCGGAACGUACCCAGAAGUGGGGGAUAACGUAGCGAAAGUUACGCUAAUACCGCAUACGUUCUACGGAAGAAAGUGGGGGAUCUUCGGACCUCAUGCUUUUGGAGCGGCCGAUGUCUGAUUAGCUAGUUGGUGAGGUAAAGGCUCACCAAGGCGACGAUCAGUAGCUGGUCUGAGAGGACGACCAGCCACACUGGGACUGAGACACGGCCCAGACUCCUACGGGAGGCAGCAGUGGGGAAUUUUGGACAAUGGGCGCAAGCCUGAUCCAGCAAUGCCGCGUGAGUGAAGAAGGCCUUCGGGUUGUAAAGCUCUUUUGUCAGGGAAGAAACGGUUGGGGCUAAUAUCUCCGGCUAAUGACGGUACCUAAAGAAUAAGCACCGGCUAACUACGUGCCAGCCGCCGCCGUAA